Molecule: transfer RNA, 72 nt
Filed under: Pangasianodon gigas (Mekong giant catfish)
Lineage: Eukaryota; Metazoa; Chordata; Actinopteri; Siluriformes; Pangasiidae
Description: tRNA-Glu
Source: RNAcentral
UCCCUAGAGGACUAGUGCUUAGGCCACAGCGCUCUCGCUGGUGCAGUCCGGGUUCGAUUCCCAGCCAGGGAA